AAUAUAUUUUGUAUUCUUUUAAAAAUGUGAAUUCUACAGAGAAGAUUAGCAUGGCCCCUGCGCGAGGAUGACAAGCAAAUUUGUGAAGCGUUCCAUAUUUUU
Molecule: small nuclear RNA, 102 nt
Organism: Suncus etruscus (white-toothed pygmy shrew)
Lineage: Eukaryota; Metazoa; Chordata; Mammalia; Eulipotyphla; Soricidae
Source: RefSeq, a predicted model, not a curated record